This 1461-nucleotide unclassified non-coding RNA is filed under the name uncultured fungus. RNAcentral describes it as "sequence contains 18S rRNA gene, ITS1, 5.8S rRNA gene, ITS2, 28S rRNA gene". The stretch from base 492 to 1461 matches the Rfam family "Eukaryotic large subunit ribosomal RNA", at positions 1 to 961 of the family's 3401-position model. Lineage: Eukaryota; Fungi. The record is from RNAcentral.
GGAAGGAUCAUUAACACUAAUCCAACAAACUCAACCAAGCCUUCAGUUGCAGCAGUAGUAUGUGCUAGCGCAAGCAGGCCGUACCGCAGCUGCAACCCAAGCAAACCUAAUUCAAAGGAGUCUAACUAAGACCAACCAAAAAACCAAAUUCUCAACGAUGGAUAUCUUGGUUCCCAUAACGAUGAAGAACGCAGCGAAGUGCGAUAAGCAAUGCGAAUUGCAGAACCGUGAGUCAUCAGAUUUUUGAACGCAACUGGCGCCGGCCCUGGCCGGCAUGCUUGUUUCAGUGUAUCUUUUUCUCCUCACCCACAUCAUAAUGCGAGAGAUACCCUUCUCUUGCUAAGCAUGAAAGCACUCUGCGCUCUGCGAGCGGCUUCGACUUGUUCGAGGCCGCACUCAAUGCAGCCGUCACAUUGCUCACAAUGUGAACUCAUUGAGAGCAGAGGCAGUACAGCCUAGCUGUGCAGUGCUUAGCCACACAAUCUUUACUGAAAUCUGAAAUCAAGCAGGACCACCCGCUGAACUUAAGCAUAUCACUAAGCGGAGGAGAAGAAAUUAACUAAGAUUGCCUCAGUAACUGCGAGUGAAGCGGCAAAAGCCCAAACUGGAAAUCUUGCUCCUUCAGGAGUACGAAUUGUAAUCUAUAGGGAGGUUGCUCAGCGAAGUUGGCGCAGAAGUGCCCUGGAAUGGGACGCCAGAGAGGGUGACAGCCCCGUACGUGGUGCCAGCUUCUAACGAGUAUACUUUCGAAGAGUCGGGUUGUUUUGUAUUGCAGCCCUAAGCGGGAGAUAGACUUCUUCUAAGGCUAAAUACCUAUGGGAAACCGAUAGCGAACAAGUACUGUGAAGGAAAGAUGAAAAGAACUUUGAAAAGAGAGUCAAAAGACUUGAAAUCGUUGAGAAGGAAGCGGUAGAAAUUUAUCCUUCGGUGGGGCCUCGUGCAGGUUGCCUAAUCAUUGCACCCGUCCGGUACCGCAAGGGCCGGUGGGGGUACAUGUGGAAGUGGCCUGCUUGGGCUUCAUUGUGAGGCAAGAUGAGGUUGCAUUCCUGCAAAAGCGCCUGAUGCCCGGCUUGCUUGCAGGCAGCAUUGGGUGGCUAGUGGGCGUGCAGCCUGAGGAUGCCUUGUGCGAUCUUGCCAAAAUGGUUUUUACCGACCCGUCUCGAAACACGGACCAAGGAGUCUAACAUAUAUGCGAGUGUGCUGGUGGAAAAACCAACACGCGUAAUGAAGGUGAGUGAUGCCAAGCGCAAGCGGCAGCAUCAACCGACCAUGAUCCUCUGGUGAAAGGUUUGAGUAAGAGCAUACAUGCUAGGACCCGAAAGAUGGUGAACUAUGCCUGAGUAGGGUGAAGCCAGGGGAAACUCUGGUGGAGGCUCGUAGCGGUUCUGACGUGCAAAUCGAUCGUCAAACUUGGGUAUAGGGGCGAAAGACUAAUCGAACCAUCUAGUAGCUGGUUCCCUC